ACAGUUUAAAAUAAGGGCGUAUGGUGGAUGCCUUGACAUCAGAUGGCGAUGAAGGACGUGGCGUAGCUGCGAUAAGCUUCGGGGAGGUGCUUAGCAACCUAUGAUCCGGAGAUUUCCGAAUGGGAAAACCCAGCGCGGUAAACCCGCGCUAUCAUGCUUAUAAGUAGUAUGAUGCUAACCCGCUGAAGUGAAACAUCUCAGUAAGCGGAGGAAAAGAGAAAAAUUUUAUUCCCCAAGUAGCGGCGAGCGAAAAGGGAAAAGCCCAAACCUGUCAAAAUUUUCGCAAGAAAAUUUUGAUGGGGGUUGUAAGACAGAGAAAUUUACUAUUUAUAGUAAGAUUGGUUACAAAUUAACUUGUUAGCCAAACAGUCUGGAAAGACUGAUCAAAGAGGGUGAUAAUCCCGUAGGCGAAAAUAAGUUAACCAAUUUUCUUUGAUCUUGAGUACCUCGAGGACAGAAUGCUUCGAGGGAAUCAUCCGGCACUAUCCGGAAAGGCUAAAUACAUCUGAUGAUCGAUAGUGAACUAGUACCGUGAGGGAAAGGUGAAAAGUAGGCCGGCAAGGCCGAUGAAAUAGAAUCUGAAACCAUAUGUCUACAAGGAACGGAAGUCCGCAAGGACGACCGUGUGCCUAUUGAAGAAUGAGCCAACGAGUUUAUAUAAAUCGUUUGUCUAAGUCCUACGGGGCGGAGGCAAAGGGAAACCGAGUGUUAAAAGCGCGCCACCUUGUGCUUCGCACAAGGAAUUCCUAAUUGACCUAAUUUCUAAUUGACCUAAAUAAUGACCAAUGACCAAGCACUAAAUGACCACAAUUAUAUUUGGUUAUUGGGAUUUGGGAAAUUGGGAUUUAUUUAGAAAUUAGAAAUUAGAAAUUAGAAAUUUCUCGCGCGGAGCGCGAGGUUAACGGUUUGUGUAAGACCCGAAGCCAGGCGAGCUUGCCUUGGCCAGGAUGAAGUCCCGCGAAAGCGGGAUGGAGGUCCGAACCGGUUGAUUGUGCAAAAUCUUCGGAUGAGCUGAGGUAAGAAGUGAAAAGCUAAUCGAGCCUGGUAAUAGCUGGUUCUCUCCGAAACAGUUUUAGGACUGGCGUCGAGUAAAAACUUUUCUGGGGUAGAGCUACUGGUUAAGAAGUAAAGGGAGAAAUCUCGACUUCUCAGUCAAACUCCGAAUACGGAAAAGCACGGCUCGGCAGUUAGAACGUGGGGGCUAAGCUCCAUGUUCGAAAGGGAAACAGCCCUUGAUCGUCGUUUAAGGUCCCUAAAUAUUUGCUAAGUGUUAAAGGCAGUUAUCCGCCAUAAACAGAUAGGAGGUUGGCUUAGAGGCAGCCAUCCUUUAAAGAGUGCGUAACAGCUCACUAUUCGACGGCGGGUUGCGCCGAAAAUUUACCGGGGCUAAGCAAAUUACCGAAAACACGAAUCCCCGACUUCACGUCGGGGGUGGUAGGAGAGCAUUUCGUACGCGCUGAAGGUUGACCCGCGAGGGCAACUGGAGCGUACGGAAGAGAGAAUGUUGGCAUGAGUAACCGCAAGUCCGAUGAGAACUCGGACUCCCGCAAAUCCAAGGUUUCCUCCGCAAUGUAAAUCAACGGAGGGUUAGGCGGUCCUAAGGCAAUGGCGAAAGCCGGAGUUAAUGGACAACUGGUUAAUAUUCCAGUCCCUCAAUAUUUUUCGAUGGGGUGACGAGGUUUAGUAGAUAAAGCGUCUUAAUGGUUUGACGUCCUUGAUCGAGGAUUCCCGACUAGAAAAUCUGUCGGGAUGCUUUUAAUAGCAAAUCCCAGAGUAGAGGCGAUGUCUGGUUUUACCGGAUAAAGUUUGUCGAGCAAAUCUCCGAGAAAAACCUCUAAGAUUAGAAAUGUUGGGUCCGUACCGUAAACCGACACAGGUGGAUGAGGCGAGUAGCCUCAGGGAAACGAGUGAUUCCUCGUUAAGGAACUCGGCAAAAAAGCGGCCGUAAGUUAGCAAUAAGGCCUACCCGAGAUGCCGCAAGGCAUUUUUCGGGUCGCAGCGAAAGUAUCCCUAGCGACUGUUUAACAAAAACACAGCUCCCUGCAAACUCGUAAGAGGAGGUAUAGGGGGUGACACCUGACCGAUGCGAGAAGGUCAAGGUUGCCGGUUGCGUGUAGCAAUAUGCGCAGCUGAGUGACUCAAGCCCUCGUCAAUGUCAGCGAUAACUAUAAUCGUUCUAAGGUAGCGCAAUUCCUUUUCGGGUAAGUUCCGAAGCGCACGAAAGGUGUAACGACUGGGGAACUGUCUCAACGAGGAGCUCGGUGAAAAUGCGAUUCCCGUGAAGACGCGGGAUACCUCUAGCGGGACGAAAAGACCCCGGGAGCUUUACUGUAGCUUGAUAUUGUUUUUAGAAUUUAAAUGCGUAGCGUAGUGGGGAGGCUUUGAAGUUUCGAUCUCGGUCGGGAUGGAGCCGACAAUGAAACACCCAUCUUUUAAAUUUUAAAAACUAACCUGAACGGCAAAAACGUUCGGGGACAGUGUCUGGCGGGCAGUUUUUCUGGGGCGGAAUCCUCCUAAAGAGUAACGGAGGAGUUUAUUAAGGUCGGCUUAGCUCGGAUGGAAAUCGAGCUGGACGCGUAAAGGCAAAAGCCGGCUUAACGGCAAGGCUGACAAGCCGCGCCGGUGCGAAAGCAGAACUUAGUGACCCGACGGUCCUUUAUAGAAAGGCCGGAGAUAACGGAUAAAAGCUACCCCGGGGAUAACAGGCUAGUGAGAUCCGAGAGUUCUUAUCGACGAUCUCGCUCGGCACCUCGAUGUCGGCUCAUCACAGCGCGGGGCUGAAGAAGGUCCCAAGCGUUUGGCUGUUCGCCAAUUAAAGUGAUACGCGAGCUGGGUUCAAACCGUCAAAGAAAGAACCCUUUAUGACCAUCGAACACGGCGGCUUUCGACAGUGAUGUCAAAAUGCAUAAAUCGACUCAUAUCGGUGAAAUCCUAAUAUUGAUUUUUAACCUGUCAAAUGUUAGGAUAAUACCGAGGGAAGUUGUGUAUGCUUAAUCAAAUUCAAAAAUCAUAUAUCGCAGGAUUUUUAGACGGAGAUGGAAGUAUUUAUGUGCGAUUAAAACCAAAUCGAACUUAUCGGUAUGGUUUUCAAGUAUCGCCAUAUAUUGUUUUAUUUCAAUCUCAGAAAGAUCGGGUUAAUUUUCAAAAGAUUUGUAAUUUAAUUGGUUUAGGUUAUUUAAGAAUACGCAAAGACGGUAUUCUUGAAUAUAUAAUUGGAAGAACCGACGCGUUGCGCGAUUUUUUGAAAAUGGUAAAACCAUUUGUAAUUCUUAAAAAAGAACAAGUUAAUCUGAUGAUAAAAAUUCUAAAUAUGAAAGAAAAUAUAAAAAAUAAGAAUGAUUUUAUUAAACUCGCAAAAUUAGUAGAUAGUUUUCGGGAUUUAAAUUAUUCUAAGAAACGAAAAAAGCGUACAUUAACCCCGUAGAGACUUCUUCGACUUAUGUCGGAGAGAUAAAAUCUUUAAAGAUUUUAUAAAACGUCGAUCUUCUUAAUAAAAAAAGAAGGUGGUAUAGUCCAAUCAAUUAGUAAUAGUUGAAAUUAUGCGUGAGACAGGUUGGUCUCUAUCUGCUAGAGGCGUUGAUGUUUGAGGGAAGUUGGCCUUUGUACGAGAGGAUCAGGCUGAACGAACCUCUGGUCUACCGGCUUUGCCACCAGGUGAAGCGCCGGGUAGCUAUGUUCGGCAGGGAUAAGCGCUGAAAGCAUCUAAGCGCGAAGCCCCUCCCAAGAUUAGACAUCUUAGACUCGUGGAAGAUUACCACGUUGAUAGGCUUUAGGUGUAAGUCCGGCAACGGAUUAAGCCAAGAAGUACUAAUAAGUCAUAAAUAAUUUAUCU
This 3832-nucleotide ribosomal RNA is filed under the name bacterium. RNAcentral describes it as "23S ribosomal RNA". The stretch from base 4 to 2951 matches the Rfam family "Bacterial large subunit ribosomal RNA". The record is from RNAcentral.